Molecule: ribosomal RNA, 253 nt
Filed under: uncultured bacterium
Lineage: Bacteria
Description: partial 16S ribosomal RNA
Rfam family: Bacterial small subunit ribosomal RNA
Source: RNAcentral
UACGUAGGCAGCAAACGUUGUUCGGAAUUACUGGGCGUAAAGCGUGCGCAGGCGGCUUUGCAAGACAGAUGUGAAAUCCCCGGGCUUAACCUGGGAACUGCAUUUGUGACUGCAUGGCUGGAGUGCGGCAGAGGGGGAUGGAAUUCCGCGUGUAGCAGUGAAAUGCGUAGAUAUGCGGAGGAACACCGAUGGCGAAGGCAAUCCCCUGGGCCUGCACUGACGCUCAUGCACGAAAGCGUGGGGAGCAAACAGG